ACACCUCAACUCUCAUGGUCCGCCAUGAUGAGCUUGGACUUUGGGGGUCUUGCCGGCCUAGCGUCGGCUCCUCUCAAAUGGAUCAGCUUCCCAGUGUUUGGUGGCGUCACAGGUGUGAUAACUAUCUACGCUUGUGGUUUUCCGCCAUUAACCUUCAGCAAUGGAGGUUCGCUGGAGCUCACAGAUGUCUCUCCUUGGGGAGGACGGCUUCUUGAAU
RNAcentral lists this unclassified non-coding RNA (217 nucleotides) under Tomentella galzinii. Its description in RNAcentral is "partial internal transcribed spacer 2". Lineage: Eukaryota; Fungi; Basidiomycota; Agaricomycetes; Thelephorales; Thelephoraceae. The record is from RNAcentral.